Molecule: long non-coding RNA, 2493 nt
Organism: Nomascus leucogenys (northern white-cheeked gibbon)
Lineage: Eukaryota; Metazoa; Chordata; Mammalia; Primates; Hylobatidae
Exons: 3
Source: RefSeq, a predicted model, not a curated record
GCUAUCAAGUUGUGAAUAGCCCUAUGGAGGAACCAUAUAACAUGGCAGUAAAAUCUGGAGAUAACCUUGAGCAUUUGAGGGCUGCCAAAGCGACAUAAGUGAGCUUGGAAGUGGAUCCUCCCUGAUUUGAGAAGAUUAUACCCCAGGCCGGCAUCUUUACUGAAACCUUUCGAGAGACAUCAACCCAGAGAUUGUGGCUGGUUGCACGUGUCCACUGAUUUGGCCUCAAUGCAUUCUACAGCUCUGGGAGCUACUUUGUCCUCAGCUGCUGCAUGCCCCAGUUCUGCCUCUUGGUCUUGACUGUCAAGCCUUAAACACGGGUAAUACACCUACUGACCAAAAAUGAACUCGAAUCCUGACUCAUGGAGCAUCUCUGGACACUGUCUUCUGGUGGAAAACUCAUCUACUGGCCCUUGAUUGCACUGGCAUUUGUCAUUAUCCUUGUUUACAGUCUUUGAGCCGGUUUUCAAUCCAUGCAACAGCAUUUCUGUCCAAAUCCAUUUGUACGACUUUUUCAGUUCGGAUUUCACAAGGCAUUGGAUCAAAUGUAUUACGGAAGGUCCGGGUAUAUGACAUCUACACAUUCUCUUCCUCCAGUCAUUUUCUAAUUAGAUUCUUUUAAAAGUAGGGGUGGCAUGAGUGAGGGGAGAUCAAGUUUCACUGGCGCAACCUGCCUGUGCUGUCGCACCACCUGGCGAAAACUCCUGUGUGGAAGUAUCGCUGCCAGCACAAGUUGAAUACCCACGGUAAGCUGGAGGGGUUUUUAAUGGAACUGAAAUGCCAGCUGCUCCUCACAUUCCUCAUGCCAUAUUGUCCAGUGAAGCAGCCACUUUUUCAUCAGCUCUAGCCAGGAAUCAUUGAGUCAUUUUAGAUCCACUUUUAUCCUUUGAUCAACAUUUGAUCUAUGGGAUGAAGCCAAGUUGUGAGUCCAUCAGCUUCCCUCACUUGUGCUGUUUCCCUCUUUCUUUUAUGCACUCAGUUACUAACACUCACUUCUAACCGAACUCAUUUCUAACCAGCUGUACCUCUGUAAAGCUUUAUUCUUUGGCUUAAGGUAGUCACUUAUCUGUUGCAGGCUGUUUUAUUCAGCUGGUCAAGUUGACCCUGGCACUGUGGGCACAGUCCUUCUUAUUACUCAGGCACUUCAUGUUCUUAAAUGAAGUCGCCCUAAAGCGUUGGCUUAUAGUGUCUCUCGUCUUCAGUGGACUGAGAGCAAACACAGCUAUCUGGAUUUCAUUGCAUUUUUUUUUUCUUUUUUAAGUCUGGAGACAUUUAGUCCCCAAUAAAAAGUCAGCAGAGCUUGUGUGGUUGACGUAAAACGGUGAGCAGGGGAAGAGGUGGUGAAGUCCUUGCCUGUGCUGUCUAGGAGCACUCUUAUCUUAAUACUUCUGUAGAGUCUCGUGCUAUUUUCAAACAGAGACAAUUUUAGCAUAACUCCCUAAAUUUUGCCCCCACCCCUUUUUUGGCAAAUCACCCUGAUGCAAAACUUUCAAAAGGCUAAAAAAAAAAAAUACUGACAAUAAAUUAUUGUAAAUGGCAUGUUCAACUCCUUGUAUAUAUUAGAAUGUCUCUAGUCUCUCCUUCCCCAAUGAAAUUAGCCAACAGUUUUUAAUUUUUCCUCAUUUUCUAAAGUGUCUUGCUCUUCUCUGACUAUUUGAACUUUGCACUGUGCAGCUUUCUCAAAUCUCUGCACCAGAAAUGAAUUUUAUAAUACUUGACCUUUUAAUCUAGCAAAUCAGACCCUUUUGUAAUUAAAUUAAACUUUUCAUAGGAUGAACCGAACUAUCAAAUGUCAUCUUAUCUUUAGCAGCAGCAGCUGAUGCAGAAACAUCAGACACUGCAGACAAGACAAGAAAGAGUCAAAACAGAUCAUUAACACCAGUCUAAAUGCCUUUAGACUGUUUUACAAUGUCUUCGUGCUCAGCUCUUGAAAAUAAGCUGUCAAAAACUAUGUUGCUGUCUGUUCAAAGAAUACAAAGUAAUAUACUAAGUAUAUUUGCUUUGAAGCUGUCUGGAGCAGCUUUGAAAAAGAUUAGCAACUUAGUAUGGACAUAUGAGUCCUGAGGCGAAUUGAAUUGCCAUUUUGGGGACAAGAAGCACUAAAUGUGGAUGUGCUAUAUUAUGCUUAUAAGGUUGCUCUUUGCUAAUAAAAGCUAAUCGAAAAUGGGAAAGAACCAAUUAUUGAUAGAAUAUAUGGAAUGAAAAUAAACAUUAGAAGAUAGGGGCUAAACUGCCAUUAAACAAUAAGAUAUGUUUGAAAUCCUUCUUAACAUUUUAAAACACAUUUAUACUUAUAAUUAAAAAUUCUUUCAAAGAUCUAUGAAUAAUAAGUGAAGUUCAGUCAUAAUUUUCAAACUUCAAAAAUAACUGCUGUCUUAUUCCAGGCUCCAAAAAUAUUUAAGCAGAUCUAAUAAAACCAGCAAGAUAUCUGAAUAAAAUUUACCACGUCUUAUCACCUUCAUGAUCCGUGAGGACCUAUUUUCUGAGUAACCA